Molecule: ribosomal RNA, 268 nt
Filed under: uncultured bacterium
Lineage: Bacteria
Description: partial 16S ribosomal RNA
Rfam family: Bacterial small subunit ribosomal RNA
Source: RNAcentral
UACGAAGGGUGCAAGCGUUAAUCGGAAUUACUGGGCGUAAAGCGCGCGUAGGUGGUUCAGCAAGUUGGAUGUGAAAUCCCCGGGCUCAACCUGGGAACUGCAUCCAAAACUACUGAGCUAGAGUACGGUAGAGGGUGGUGGAAUUUCCUGUGUAGCGGUGAAAUGCGUAGAUAUAGGAAGGAACACCAGUGGCGAAGGCGACCACCUGGACUGAUACUGACACUGAGAUGCGAGAGCGUGGGGAGCAAACAGGAUUGAUCCCGUAGUC